AUCCACUCAGCACCUGGUUAGGAAGCCGGGCCAAUUUUCCUCCCUUUUGAUUUCAUUCUGCUCCUGUCUGGCUGCCCAGACACAUGGAGAGUUUGUCAAGUGGAAUUUCUGUCUCUUGCGGCCGCCCUGCCCUCUGCAGAGUGCUGAACGGGCAAGCAGGAUCACCCGGCUCAGUGCCGCAGACAUCACUCUCUUGUGAUAAGGGCCAGCGCGCACCCUUGAACGAGGAGCCUGUCAUUCUUCACAGUCACCAGGCAGCUGGCGGGGUCUCUGUUUGUCACCCAGGCUGAGUGCAGUGGUGUUAUCAAACUCACUGCAGCCUCAAUGUCCCAGGCUCAAGCAAUCCUCCCACCUAAGCCUCCCAAGGAGCUGGGACUACAGGCAUGCAUCACCACACCCAGCUAAUUUUUUUGACUUUUUGUAGAGAUUAGGUCUUGCUAUGUUGCUCAGGCUGGUCUUGAACUCCUGGACUCAACAGAUCCUCCCGCCUCAGCCACCCAAAGUGCUGAAUUACAGGUGCAAUGGAAAUCUUUAAAGCAAAAUGCCAAGGAAAUACUGUUUGAGUAGGACUGUACCAUUUAUACUCAAUUUCCACAGCCAUCUUAGGGAACUCCCACCUCUCUGUGGGUAUGCCACCCACCCAGUCCCCCAGACAAGAUUCUGGGGACCUGCUGGACACUUCUUGUCUUUCAGGUGCUCUAAUUUUACCAGCCACCAUGCAGUCCUGCCUCUUGGGUGCCCUAAUUUUUCUGGGCAGUCCUGCCUGCUACCCACCCCUUGGUUCUGCCCACUUUCUUCCCACUCCACUGCUCCCAUCACACCACCAGCCACUGCCACCUCCUGCCUGCUGGGGACACUGACAUCACCUCUUGGCUGCUUCUCUCUACUCAGUUGCUCUUCCCUUUGACCACUUCUUCCCUGAAGGGGCCUUCCUACGGCAUAAUUGAAACAAUUCUCCUUCCUUGCUUACAGUUGCUCAGGGACUUAUGUGGUAUUCAAGUCCAAAUCCCUGAGCAUGUUUUUGAACUGGAAAACUGACAGGGGGCAGUGGUGGUAAUCAGAGAAGGCUUCCUGGAGGAAGUGACAACUAGGCUGAAGGAUAAGUGAGAGUUCAUGCCACAUGACGUGCAGGAAAGGCACUCUGGGACAGCAGCAGCAGAGGACCUUCCUGGAGAUGUCCCCCAUAGUCUCGGUCCCCCAUGCCUGUGGGAUUUCCAAGAGGAAGCAGAGCUGUGGGGCCAUGCUUCCCAUUGUGCAAUAUGGAUGUUCUGGGAAAUACCACAGGAGGGUGGAAGGGCAGGCGAUCGUCCACACAGGAAGGGGGCAUGCAGGGCUGGAUUUGCUGAGCCCAGAUAAGCGGCCCCAGAGGUGCUCCAGAGAGGAAGCCCCCGAGCUCGGGAGCCUCAUGCGUGCAGGCGAUAGCAUGGGUUUGGAAUGCACAGGUAUUGACCAAAGCCACCAUGCACAGACUGGACAGAAAAUGGCUGGUGGGGGCUGGCUCUUGGGGAGCAAGACAGCAUCAUGCAGAGGAGAGAAGGAACUCUGGUUCUCUUCCUCAGGGGGGCCCACAGAGAGCUCAGUGGACUCAUGGCCGAAAAGAAGGGGUCCACACUCUGUUUUUAACACCAUCUAUUUGUACUUGGGAGGCUCACCCUGCAGCCAUGAGGCAGGGCUGGGUGGGGCCAUGCCAUGCCCCUGGAGCUGGGACACCUAAGCUCAGCAUGUAUCUAGAAAACAAGACUGGUCCAGCGUAAUGGUGUGAGAUGAACCAAUUCCUCUACGUGGCAAUUUGUCACAAGCACAGCCCUCAACUCACGGGGUACCAGGGACCCAGGAAGAAGUGGACUUGGCACCAAUGAGGAUGCUUCUGCUGCAGCUCUCUAGGUGCCAGCUGCUACCGAUAUGUGAUGUUGGGCAGCUGCUUCUCCUUUUGGGGACCUCAGUCUCCCCAUCUGUGAUUUUUGAAUCUUAAUAAUAACCCUUCUGCCUCCUAAGACAGUUGGAGGAUCAAACAGG
Molecule: long non-coding RNA, 2016 nt
Filed under: Pongo abelii (Sumatran orangutan)
Lineage: Eukaryota; Metazoa; Chordata; Mammalia; Primates; Hominidae
Description: lincRNA
Source: RNAcentral